RNAcentral lists this ribosomal RNA (443 nucleotides) under uncultured bacterium. RNAcentral's name for it is "partial 16S ribosomal RNA". It matches the Rfam family "Bacterial small subunit ribosomal RNA", at positions 338 to 795 of the family's 1533-position model. The record is from RNAcentral.
CCUACGGGAGGCUGCAGUGGGGAAUAUUGGGCAAUGGGCGCAAGCCUGACCCAGCAAAGCCGCGUGAAGGAAGACGGCUCUCGGGUUGUAAACUUCUUUUAUCAGGGACGAAGCAAGUGACGGUACCUGCUGAAUAAGCCAAGGCUAACUAAGUGCCAGCAGCCGCGGUGAUACGUAGGGGGCAGGCGUUAUACGGAUUUACUGGGUGUAAAGGGCGUGUAGGCGGGAAAGCAAGGCAGAUGUAAAAACCAUGGGCUGAACCUGUGGCCUGCAUUUGAAACUGGUUUUCUUGAGUGCUGGAGAGGCAGGCGGAAUGCCUGGUGUAGCGGUGAAAUGCGUAGAUAUUAGGAGGAACACCGGUGGCGAAGGCGGUCUGCUGGACAGCAACUGACGCUGAGGCACGAAAGCGUGGGGAGCAAACAGGAUUAGAUACCCCGGUAGUC